GACGAACGCUGGCGGCGUGCUUAACACAUGCAAGUCGAACGGUGAACCGGGCUUCGGCCCGGGGAUCAGUGGCGAACGGGUGCGUAACACGUGGGCAACCUGCCCCAGACACUGGGAUAACUCCGGGAAACCGGGGCUAAUACCGGAUACUCUCAGCCGACCGCAUGACCGGCUGAGGAAAGCUCCGGCGGUCUGGGAUGGGCCCGCGGCCUAUCAGCUUGUUGGUGGGGUAACGGCCUACCAAGGCGACGACGGGUAGCUGGUCUGAGAGGACGGCCAGCCACACUGGGACUGAGACACGGCCCAGACUCCUACGGGAGGCAGCAGUGGGGAAUCUUGCACAAUGGGCGCAAGCCUGAUGCAGCGACGCCGCGUGGGGAUGAAUGCCUUC
Molecule: ribosomal RNA, 391 nt
Filed under: uncultured bacterium
Lineage: Bacteria
Description: bacterial SSU rRNA
Rfam family: Bacterial small subunit ribosomal RNA
Source: RNAcentral